Non-coding RNA from Manis javanica (Malayan pangolin), 271 nucleotides. Lineage: Eukaryota; Metazoa; Chordata; Mammalia; Pholidota; Manidae. The record is from RefSeq and is a predicted model, not a curated record.
UUUAAAUGGUUAACAUUUGUGCUGCAGUAUAGCUUUCUAGCUCAUGAAAAAUGAAAGCUAUCAGCGAUCUGGGCAAUAAGAUUCAUCGUCAAUAGUCACUAGCAACAGCACACAGCAUUUUAAUAUCAGCGAGGUCCACAGCUAGCAGUAAGAGCUGGUGUAAUUGAAAGACGUUUAGGUGCAAUCAUUCUGCUGUUGUUCCUUGCCGUGUUCAACAUGGGAUUGUCACGCAAGUCAUCAGAAGCAUCUGCUUGCUCCUCAGAAGUAUCUG